This 209-nucleotide microRNA precursor is filed under the name Oryza sativa Indica Group (long-grained rice). RNAcentral describes it as "MIR812 microRNA precursor family". It matches the Rfam family "MIR812 microRNA precursor family". Lineage: Eukaryota; Viridiplantae; Streptophyta; Magnoliopsida; Poales; Poaceae. The record is from Rfam by way of RNAcentral.
AAUAAGUGCAGUUUUGCACUAUUCAUGUUCAACGUUUGACCGUCCGUCUUAUUUGAAAAUUUUUUAUGAUUAGUAUUUUUAUUGCUAUUAGAUGAUAAAACAUGAAUAGUACUUUAUGUGUGACUAAAUGUUUUUAAUUUUUUCACAAAUUUUUCAAAUAAGACGGACGGUCAAACAUUGAACGUAAAUAGUGCAAAACUGCACUUAUU